Molecule: long non-coding RNA, 225 nt
Filed under: Setaria viridis
Lineage: Eukaryota; Viridiplantae; Streptophyta; Magnoliopsida; Poales; Poaceae
Description: long non-coding RNA (SVIR_LNC004317)
Source: RNAcentral
GGAACGAGAACAGGGUACACAGCCAACCUUCAGAUAAUACUCGCUGCUAAUACAUCUCAUCGGCAGUUCCCCAAUAAAUCUUUCCCAAUAACUAGUUGAUUGGAAUAUACCAAUAUCUCAUUCAUUGUUUUUUUGGAAGAGUUGUGCAGUUCCCUAAUAAUCUUAUCACAAUUCAACUACUGUAUUGGAAGAGUCACAACUCCCCCUUUAUUUUGGGAGAGUUGG